RNAcentral lists this ribosomal RNA (468 nucleotides) under uncultured bacterium. Its description in RNAcentral is "partial 16S ribosomal RNA". It matches the Rfam family "Bacterial small subunit ribosomal RNA", at positions 28 to 507 of the family's 1533-position model. The record is from RNAcentral.
GACGAACGCUGGCGGCGUGCUUAACACAUGCAAGUCGAACGGAAAGGCCCUGCUUUUGUGGGGUGCUCGAGUGGCGAACGGGUGAGUAACACGUGAGUAACCUGCCCUUGACUUUGGGAUAACUUCAGGAAACUGGGGCUAAUACCGGAUAGGAGCCCCUGCUGCAUGGUGGGGGUUGGAAAGUUUCGGCGGUUGGGGAUGGACUCGCGGCUUAUCAGCUUGUUGGUGGGGUAGUGGCUUACCAAGGCUUUGACGGGUAGCCGGCCUGAGAGGGUGACCGGCCACAUUGGGACUGAGAUACGGCCCAGACUCCUACGGGAGGCAUCAGUGGGGAAUAUUGCACAGUGAGCGGAAGCCUGAUGCAGCAACGCCGCGUGCGGGAUGACGGCCUUCGGGUUGUAAACCGCUUUCGCCUGUGACGAAGCGUGAGUGACGGUAAUGGGUAAAGAAGCACCGGCUAACUACGUG